Molecule: ribosomal RNA, 433 nt
Filed under: uncultured bacterium
Lineage: Bacteria
Description: partial 16S ribosomal RNA
Rfam family: Bacterial small subunit ribosomal RNA
Source: RNAcentral
AACGAACGCUGGCGGCAUGCCUAACACAUGCAAGUCGAACGAGACCUUCGGGUCUAGUGGCGCACGGGUGCGUAACGCGUGGGAACCUGCCCUUAGGUUCGGAAUAACUCCCCGAAAGGGGUGCUAAUACCGGAUAAUGUCUUCGGACCAAAGAUUUAUCGCCUUUGGAUGGGCCCGCGUUGGUUUGGCUAGUUGGUAGGGUAAAAGGCUACCAAGGCGACGAUCCAUAGCUGGUCUGAGAGGAUGAUCAGCCACACUGGGACUGAGACACGGCCCAGACUCCUACGGGAGGCAGCAGUGGGGAAUAUUGGACAAUGGGCGAAAGGCUGAUCCAGCAAUGCCGCGUGAGUGAUGAAGGCCUUAGGGUUGUAAAGCUCUUUUACCCGGGAUGAUAAUGACAGUACCGGGAGAAUAAGCUCCGGCUAACUCCGUG